UACGAGGGGGGCGAGCGUUGUUCGGAAUUAUUGGGCGUAAAGGGUGCGUAGGCGGUUCCGCAAGUCCUGUGUGAAAUCUUCGGGCUCAACUCGAAGUCUGCACGGGAAACUGCGGGGCUUGAGUGUGGGAGAGGUGAGUGGAAUUCCCGGUGUAGCGGUGAAAUGCGUUGAUAUCGGGAGGAACUCCGGCGGCGAAAGCGGUGCACUGGUGGAUUGCUGACGCUGAGGUGCGAAAGCCAGGGGAGCAAACGGG
Molecule: ribosomal RNA, 253 nt
Filed under: uncultured bacterium
Lineage: Bacteria
Description: partial 16S ribosomal RNA
Rfam family: Bacterial small subunit ribosomal RNA
Source: RNAcentral